This 723-nucleotide ribosomal RNA is filed under the name Salmonella enterica subsp. enterica serovar Typhimurium. RNAcentral's name for it is "partial 23S ribosomal RNA". It matches the Rfam family "Bacterial large subunit ribosomal RNA", at positions 1 to 652 of the family's 2925-position model. The record is from RNAcentral. Lineage: Bacteria; Pseudomonadati; Pseudomonadota; Gammaproteobacteria; Enterobacterales; Enterobacteriaceae.
GGGUUGUGAGGUUAAGCGACUAAGCGUACACGGUGGAUGCCCUGGCAGUCAGAGGCGAUGAAGGGCGUGCUAAUCUGCGAUAAGCGCCGGUAAGGUGAUAUGAACCGUUAUAACCGGCGAUACCCGAAUGGGGAAACCCAGUGUGACUCGUCACACUAUCAUUAACUGAAUCCAUAGGUUAAUGAGGCGAACCGGGGGAACUGAAACAUCUAAGUACCCCGAGGAAAAGAAAUCAACCGAGAUUCCCCCAGUAGCGGCGAGCGAACGGGGAGGAGCCCAGAGCCUGAAUCAGCAUGUGUGUUAGUGGAAGCGUCUGGAAAGGUGCGCGAUACAGGGUGACAGCCCCGUACACAAAAGCGCAUGUGCUGUGAGCUCGAUGAGUAGGGCGGGACACGUGGUAUCCUGUCUGAAUAUGGGGGGACCAUCCUCCAAGGCUAAAUACUCCUGACUGACCGAUAGUGAACCAGUACCGUGAGGGAAAGGCGAAAAGAACCCCGGCGAGGGGAGUGAAAAAGAACCUGAAACCGUGUACGUACAAGCAGUGGGAGCCCCACCACCAAAGCAUUCUCUGGUGUUGAAGGCCCUGCAAAGCAGCAUCGCGGUGGCGGAGCGUCGUUUGCGACGCCCAACACACAAAACAAGCGGUGAAUGCUUUGGGGUGGGGUGACUGCGUACCUUUUGUAUAAUGGGUCAGCGACUUAUAUUCUGUAGCAAGGUUAACCG